Drosophila suzukii is the source of this 2317-nucleotide non-coding RNA. The record is from RefSeq and is a predicted model, not a curated record. NCBI's taxonomy places the organism in Eukaryota, Metazoa, Arthropoda, Insecta, Diptera, Drosophilidae.
GUCGCGCAGGUCGUUGGUCACCCGGCUGUUAUGGAUGGCGUACAGGCGCUCCGAGUAGCCCUGCGGGAAGUAGAGCGCUGUGGAGGCGGAAUGGUUCACUACAUUUGCACUCCUUUUGCCUGCCCUUUUGCCUGAUCGCAUAUAAGGCAUAAACGAAGAGAGAAGAUGCCAGCCACAAAUUGAAGUGUCCCCAUUCCGGUGCAUCCCCUGCCCCCGGCGAAAACCGAAACCCCCAGCUUCGGCUCAGCCAGAUUGAAGCGGUAAGGGGCAGAGGUGGAGGUGGAGGGAGAGCAGGUACAAAGUCGUUAGCACUUUGCCUGGUGUGAAGUUACCGAAGUCAACGAGGGCCAGCCCAGUCGGCCAUCUCCAGCUCCAGCUUCAGCCAGCCUUGUUACACGGCAGGCUGGACAGCCAGACAGCCGGACAGCCAGAAGCCAGACGUUUAACACGGCCAACAAGUGAACGGACAAAAGAGCGGACAGUGGUUCAGUGCUGUCCCUUAGGCUUCUUUCUCCCCAACUCAGUUCGGUCAACCUGUGACACCUGACCUAGAGGGUGCUGGGCCCUUCGUACUUCAGUAGACUGGCACAACCCAUUAAUCCUGGCUGCUACUCCUACCGAUGAUAACGAUCACCAAUUGAGUGGCAGAAGAGGGUGGGAGGAAGAGGAGCAAGAGGAGGAGGAGGAGUAGGAGGAGGAGCAGCAGCAGCAAGAGAAGGAGGAGGAGGAGGAGGAGGAGCAGAAGGUGGAGAGCCAGACAACAGGCGGAUAACAACGCCUGUCUCCAAGUGGGCUCAAGUGCCGCAGGAGGUGGAGGAGGAACCGGAGGAGGAGCAGGAGGAGGAGGACGUGGGUCAAGAGAAGGGGCAGCGAGACACGCAGGCUGCGGAGAAGACGGACCGACGGCCGGCAGCAGAAGCUGAGGCAGCGGCAGCAAAGCCAAAAGCAGAAGCUACUUGAGAGCCACAGAAUUCCGAUUCCGAUGAGGCGAUCGUGUGUCUAUAUGCAUGCUGAGGAGCCAGGCAACGCGCAGUCGCACAGCCACCAUUCCACUCCAUUACCAGUUCGCAGAUCGCAGAUCGCCGCUUCCAACAUCCAGCAUCUACCAUCUACCAUCCGCUCCCAGGAGCUGGCAAUCAAAUGGCCAACGUUGGACAAUGACUUUCACGCCUUUCGAGCGCGCCAAAACGGACAAGUCAAGUACAGGCGGCCAAGAGGCAUUCCAGAUACCCUACCUGCCUACCCAUUUUUGAGCCUUUCUUAGCCAAGUUAUACAUAUGCCAUUUACAAUUGUAUCUACAUUUAACCUAAUCGAGGUAUACCAUUUAUGGUGUUUCUUACUAACUUUAAUCCGAUAGAAUAUUUUUUAUAAUGUUUUUCAUAACGAAAUUGAAAAGAUCAUUGUAUCUUUAAAUUGAAAAAUUACUUUCGGGUAUGAUAACCAUAUUCCUUGUUUAAUCCCAAAGCUCUUCCGAAAUGUAGAAGCAUUGGAGAUACAUUAGCUGAGCUCAUUUGUAUGAAUAUUCUGUUUUUAUCGAUCAACACACUCUUUUUUCCGUGCACUUUUCACCCAGAAGUCUCUCGUUUUCAAUUUCCGUUACGAUCAAUCAGCACUUAAGCCAUCAAUCUGAAGGGGGAGGGAUAUUAAUUGAAAUUGAACGGACAAUCUCCCCAUUGAUAUGGCAAAAAAAAUGCAAGUGUUUUUGCUCUUUAGGUUAAGUUAGUUCUUAUCGCUUAAUUAGGGUUGUGCGCAAUACUCACAACAAUCACAAAAAGUAAAGAUCGCAGGUUAGUUUUCAAUUUCAAAUUUGCACACUUCACGUACUCGUUAGCCGUCGCCGAAACCAAAAAAAAAAAAUAAACGGUCGGUUGACUUGGUUGACAAUUCGAAAAGGGGCUUGGGGCUCCGAAAAAAUAUAUACACUUUUAUUUGCCGAAUUCCUUAAGCCUUCAAUUUUUCACAAAUUCCGUUGCGUCGAAAGCUUUUUUGUUUGGACACAAACGCGACAAGAAUUGGCUUUUGAAAAUACAAUAACGCGCAGAGUUUUGGUGUGCGACCGUCGCGUUGCAGCUCCUUAGCUGAUCUGGACGAUCCACCGAAACCGAAAACCGUGGAACGUUUCGAUCGGAUCUCAGUGAUGCCUUCUGCUCACUCAGAUCACCAUUAAAGUCGCCAGAAAAGUACAGCGUUUGAACAUUAAUAUUUUUAAAUCUAUUAUAUAGUUUUUUGCUUCUGUAUAAUGAAAUGAUUAGGAAAUACAUUAUUAUGAUGGAAUUGUAUUUACAAAUGGAAUUACACUUUAUUAAAAAACAUAAA